AAGAUGCGACCGGCGCACGGUGAGUAACACGUAUCCAACCUGCCGAUAACUCCGGAAUAGCCUUUCGAAAGAAAGAUUAAUACCGGAUGGCAUACGAAUAUCGCAUGAUAUUUUUAUUAAAGAGUUUCGGUUAUCGAUGGGGAUGCGUUCCAUUAGUUUGUUGGCGGGGUAACGGCCCACCAAGACUACGAUGGAUAGGGGUUCUGAGAGGAAGGUCCCCCACAUUGGAACUGAGACACGGUCCAA
This 246-nucleotide ribosomal RNA is filed under the name uncultured bacterium. RNAcentral describes it as "partial 16S ribosomal RNA". It matches the Rfam family "Bacterial small subunit ribosomal RNA", at positions 86 to 334 of the family's 1533-position model. The record is from RNAcentral.